GUCCCGUUAGCUCAGUUGGAUAGAGCACUCGCCUUCUAAGCGAGAUGUCGCUGGUUCGAACCCAGCACGGGGCACCA
RNAcentral lists this transfer RNA (77 nucleotides) under Lampropedia puyangensis. Its description in RNAcentral is "tRNA-Arg". It matches the Rfam family "tRNA". Rfam says of the family: Transfer RNA (tRNA) molecules are approximately 80 nucleotides in length. Their secondary structure includes four short double-helical elements and three loops (D, anti-codon, and T loops). Further hydrogen bonds mediate the characteristic L-shaped molecular structure. tRNAs have two regions of fundamental functional importance: the anti-codon, which is responsible for specific mRNA codon recognition, and the 3' end, to which the tRNAs corresponding amino acid is attached (by aminoacyl-tRNA synthetases). tRNAs cope with the degeneracy of the genetic code in two manners: having more than one tRNA (with a specific anti-codon) for a particular amino acid; and 'wobble' base-pairing, i.e. permitting non-standard base-pairing at the 3rd anti-codon position. The record is from RNAcentral. Lineage: Bacteria; Pseudomonadati; Pseudomonadota; Betaproteobacteria; Burkholderiales; Comamonadaceae.